Molecule: ribosomal RNA, 517 nt
Filed under: uncultured bacterium
Lineage: Bacteria
Description: bacterial SSU rRNA
Rfam family: Bacterial small subunit ribosomal RNA
Source: RNAcentral
GCCCUAAUACAUGGCAAGUCGAGGGGUAAGCGUCACUUCGGGUGAUGACACGACCGGCGCACGGGUGCGUAACGCGUAUGCAACCUACCUUUAACAGAGAGAUAGCCCCGAGAAAUCGGGAUUAAUAUCACAUAAUAUUAUUUAACGACAUCAUUGAAUAAUCAAAGCUCCGGCGGUUAAAGAUGGGCAUGCGUGACAUUAGCUAGUUGGUGAGGUAACGGCUCACCAAGGCGACGAUGUCUAGGGGUUCUGAGAGGAUGAUCCCCCACACUGGUACUGAGACACGGACCAGACUCCUACGGGAGGCAGCAGUAAGGAAUACUGCGCAAUGGAGGCAACUCUGACGCAGCCAUGCCGCGUGCAGGACUGAAGGCCUUAUGGGUCGUAAACUGCUUUUAUUUAGGAAUAAACUCUUGUACGUGUACGAGACUGAAGGUACUAAAUGAAUAAGCACCGGCUAACUCCGUGCCAGCAGCCGCGGUAAUACGGAGGGUGCAAGCGUUAUCCGGAUUUAUUG